This 410-nucleotide ribosomal RNA is filed under the name uncultured Comamonadaceae bacterium. Its description in RNAcentral is "bacterial SSU rRNA". It matches the Rfam family "Bacterial small subunit ribosomal RNA", at positions 506 to 916 of the family's 1533-position model. Lineage: Bacteria; Pseudomonadati; Pseudomonadota; Betaproteobacteria; Burkholderiales; Comamonadaceae. The record is from RNAcentral.
UGCCAGCCGCCGCGGUAAUACGUAGGGUGCAAGCGUUAAUCGGAAUUACUGGGCGUCACGCGUGCGCAGGCGGUUAUAUAAGACAGAUGUGAAAUCCCCGGGCUCAACCUGGGAACUGCAUUUGUGACUGUAUAGCUAGAGUACGGCAGAGGGGGAUGGAAUUCCGCGUGUAGCAGUGAAAUGCGUAGAUAUGCGGAGGAACACCGAUGGCGAAGGCAAUCCCCUGGGCCUGUACUGACGCUCAUGCACGAAAGCGUGGGGAGCAAACAGGAUUAGAUACCCUGGUAGUCCACGCCCUAAACGAUGGCAACUGGGUGUUGGGUCUUCACUGACUCAGUAACGAAGCUAACGCGUGAAGUUGACCGCCUGGGGAGUACGGCCGCAAGGUUGAAACUUAAAGAAAUUGACGG